Molecule: long non-coding RNA, 1035 nt
Filed under: Meleagris gallopavo (turkey)
Lineage: Eukaryota; Metazoa; Chordata; Aves; Galliformes; Phasianidae
Description: lncRNA (ENSMGAG00000020470.1)
Source: RNAcentral
AUGACAUUGCCGUGGCCAUCCAGUGGUUUCCACGUGCUUUCACCGUACUCACACCAAGGUCACCUCUUUAUCAUCCCGUUCUCACCCCAUCUUCUCCUCGUAUUACUCCUGUCGUCUCCACAUGGUCACCUGGCACAAAUGCCACUGCCUGCCCAUAGCCUUCUCACUGUCACCCACUGUUUGCUCCAGCACCCUCUUGCUCACUCCACGCUCCACCCUUUUGAUCCAGGAUCCCCACGGUCCAUUCGUGAUCUUCCCGUGCUCUCUCCGUGCUCACCUGUUUGUCACCCCACGUCUGCUCCAGCACCCAAGGGCGGGUGCCCAUUCAGGGGAUGCGUGGGGCAGGAUUGGGAUGCAGGCACUGAGGGCACGCGGGAUAUCACCGCUCCUCACAGGAGGCCCUGCUUGCCACAAGCACCUCUCAUCCUGAGGGCAGCGCCCACGCUCAUUUUCACAGUGCCCACAGCCGUGCCCAGGGCACUCACAGGGUCUCACUUCUCUCAGAGGUGGCCAGUUGCUUCCUGUACCACUUCCCAGGCUCUUCCCAUCCUUUCCGGUCUGUGGUCGCUCUACGCCCAUCCAAGUGUCACUGCAUGGACAAUUCACGGCCACACAGUAUUCUGCCCGUGGUCUCUCCGUGGUCACCCCGUAGUUCCUUCGUACUUCCUUCAUGGUAACUCCAUGGUCACCCAAUGGUCCCGCUGGUCUCACUGUGGUUAUCCCAAGAUACCCCCACAAUCACCCCUUUGCCCCCCCAUUCUUACCCCACGUACCCCGAUACUGCAUCUCAUGUCUGACCGUGGUCACUUCAUGUUCUCCCCGUGGUCCCUUUUGAUCACCCCACGGUCACCCCCGGUUGCCCUCCUGGACCUCCCAGACCUCCCAGCACUGUUGCACAGGGCCACAAACGCUGCUGUCACACGGGUCAGCAGUGGGGCUGGGCUGUCUGCAAGCACCUUUCCUCUGACCAAGCACCCCAAGGACAGGACCCACAGAAGGGGAUGUGUGGACCAGGAUGGGGAUGUGGGGCUAUGA